Long non-coding RNA from Mustela lutreola (European mink), 1002 nucleotides. RefSeq lists it as uncharacterized. The transcript has 3 exons. The record is from RefSeq and is a predicted model, not a curated record. Lineage: Eukaryota; Metazoa; Chordata; Mammalia; Carnivora; Mustelidae.
CUGGGAUCACCAUCUGGCCUGGUUCAUCUUCUGGAUUAUGAUGGAUGACUUACAGAAAUAAAGGCAAAAGUCAGAUACACGGAGGGAAGCCAAAUAAGAACAAAAGGACAGGGAUGGAGUCCUUUUCCUCCAGCCCAGUAUUAAUAAGCUUUGUAUUUCUUUAUGCCCAAGGGACCUACAUGGAUACUUCUGUAAGAGAAGGAAGAAAGAAUGGAGUGAGAGAAGCCCGCUGCCACUGUCAGCUCUGACUACCUCCUCGGUCUUACACACCUCCCAGGACCCAGUCGCAGUCACCUCCUCAGUCAUGGACCCAUAAGCCACCCAACUCCAGCUGCAUCAAGGGGAGGCACUCCACUCUAUUUAUUUUGGAGCACAGAAGUGUUAAAGUUUCCCACCUUCAUCUAGAAGCUCUUCAUCCAUGCUUUGCAGAGUAAAGCCUUGACAACUCCUGGAACUUAUUGCCAAUGCAGCUCCUACCAGAUCUCCACUCUCUACUAUGGAGGGGAGCAAGAGGAGUGUCUCAACCAACUAUACUCAAGAUCUAAUGAUGUGCCAGAGCACCCUUAGCAAUAUGACACAUUAGAAGACAACAACCAUCGAUCUGCGUGGUGCCUGGUUUCUAAGGUUCUUCUUCUUUUUUUUUUUUUUAAUAUAUAUUUUAUUCACUCAUUUGACAGAGAGAUCACAAGCAGGCAGAGAGGCAGGCAGAGAUGGAGGAAGAGAAGCAGGCCCUCUGCCGAGCAGAGAUGUGGGGCUUGACCCCAGGACCCUGGAAUCAUGAUCCGAGCUGAAGGCAGAGGCUUUAACCCACUGAGCCACCCAGGCGCCCCUCUAAGGUUCUUCUUCACAAGCUGACAAUGCAACUCUGGUCUCACAUGUAAACUGGAUUCAUUUUGGUGAUGGACUAUUUUCCACCCCCUUGCUUUCCCUCUAUCAACUACCAGAUAGCCUAAAAUAUGCAGAAGUCAGACUACCACAGUGAGGCUAACUAAGUAUGCCUGA